RNAcentral lists this ribosomal RNA (569 nucleotides) under uncultured bacterium. RNAcentral describes it as "bacterial SSU rRNA". It matches the Rfam family "Bacterial small subunit ribosomal RNA", at positions 336 to 870 of the family's 1533-position model. The record is from RNAcentral.
CUCCUACGGGAGGCAGCAAUCAGGAAUAGUCGGCAAUGGGCGAAAGCCUGACCGCGCGACGCCGCGUGUAGGAAUAAGCUCUUACGAGUGUAAACUACUGUGGCGAAGGAUGAAGUUCCGCCUUGGGCGGAAUUGACAGUACUUCGUUAGAAAGGGGCCGCUAACUGCGUGCCAGAAGCGUCGGUAAUACGUGGGCCCCAAGCGUUAUCCGGUAUCACUGGGCAUAAAGGGUCGUGUAGGCGUUCCGUUAAGUUCCCGUUUAAAUAUCAAGGCUUAACCUUGAAAAAGGUGGGGAAACUGGCGGGAUAGAAUUUUCUUAAGGGAGAUCGGAACUGAGGGAGGAGUAGUGAAAUGCGUUGAUACCCUCGGGAACACCAGUGGCGAAGGCGGAUCUCUGGAAGAAAAUUGACGCUGAGACACGAAAGCUAGGGGAGCGAAGCAGAUUAGAGACCUGCGUAGUCCUAGCUGUAAACGCAUGCUUGCUAGCUGCAUGAUUUCAGUACUUGAUUCUUAAAUAUUUGAGAAUCAAGUACUGAUAUCGUGUGGCGAAGGAAAUCCGUAAGCAAGCC